Molecule: ribosomal RNA, 460 nt
Filed under: uncultured bacterium
Lineage: Bacteria
Description: partial 16S ribosomal RNA
Rfam family: Bacterial small subunit ribosomal RNA
Source: RNAcentral
CCUACGGGAGGCAGCAGUGCGGAAUAUUGGUCAAUGGGCGCGAGCCUGAACCAGCCAAGUCGCGUGAGGGAUGACGGCCCUACGGGUUGUAAACCUCUUUUGCCGGGGAGCAACGGGCGCCACGUGUGGCGCCACUGAGAGUACCCGGAGAAAAAGCAUCGACUAACCCCGUGCCAGCAGCCGCGGUAAUACGGAGGAUGCGAGGGUUAUCCGGAUUUAUGGGGUUAAAAGGGUGCUUCGGCGAAUCGUUAAGUCAGUGGUCAAAUUGAGGGGCUCAACCCCUUCCCGCCAUGGAAACUGGCGCUCUUGAGUGGAAGGGAAGUAUGCGGAAGGCGUGGUGUAGCGGUGAAAUGCAUAGAUAGCACGCAGAACCCCGAUUGCGAAGGCAGCAUGCCGGCUUCCGACUGACGCUGAAGCACGAAAGCGUGGGGAUCGAACAGGAUUAGAUACCCUUGUAGUC